Molecule: ribosomal RNA, 497 nt
Filed under: uncultured bacterium
Lineage: Bacteria
Description: partial 16S ribosomal RNA
Rfam family: Bacterial small subunit ribosomal RNA
Source: RNAcentral
GACGAACGCUGGCGGCGUGCCUAAUACAUGCAAGUUGAGCGCUGAAGGUUGGUACUUAUCCCGACUGGAUGAGCAGCGAACGGGUGAGUAACGCGUGGGGAAUCUGCCUUUGAGCGGGGGACAACAUUUGGAAACGAAUGCUAAUACCGCAUAAAAACUUUAAACACAAGUUUUAAGUUUGAAAGAUGCAAUUGCAUCACUCAAAGAUGAUCCCGCGUUGUAUUAGCUAGUUGGUGAGGUAAAGGCUCACCAAGGCGAUGAUACAUAGCCGACCUGAGAGGGUGAUCGGCCACAUUGGGACUGAGACACGGCCCAAACUCCUACGGGAGGCAGCAGUAGGGAAUCUUCGGCAAUGGACGAAAGUCUGACCGAGCAACGCCGCGUGAGUGAAGAAGGUUUUCGGAUCGUAAAACUCUGUUGGUAGAGAAGAACGUUGGUGAGAGUGGAAAGCUCAUCAAGUGACGGUAACUACCCAGAAAGGGACGGCUAACUACGUG